Molecule: ribosomal RNA, 255 nt
Filed under: uncultured bacterium
Lineage: Bacteria
Description: partial 16S ribosomal RNA
Rfam family: Bacterial small subunit ribosomal RNA
Source: RNAcentral
UACGGAGGGUGCGAGCGUUGUCCGGAAUCAUUGGGCGUAAAGGGCGCGUAGGCGGCUCAUGAAGGCUGUGGUGAAAAGUCCGGGGGCUCAACCCUCGGAUCGGCCGUGGCGACUCGUGGGCUGGAGCACUGUAGAGGCGGGUGGAAUUCCGGGUGUAGCGGUGGAAUGCGUAGAGAUCCGGAAGAACACCAGUGGCGAAGGCGGCCGCUGGCAGCUGGCUGACGCUGAAGCGCGGACAGCGUGGGAGCAAACAGG